GACGAACGCUGGCGGCGUGCCUAACACAUGCAAGUCGAACGGAAAGGCCCUGCUUUUGUGGGGUGCUCGAGUGGCGAACGGGUGAGUAACACGUGAGUAACCUGCCCUUGACUUUGGGAUAACUUCAGGAAACUGGGGCUAAUACCGGAUAGGAGCACCUGCUGCAUGGUGGGGGUUGGAAAGUUUCGGCGGUUGGUGAUGGACUCGCGGCUUAUCAGUCUGUUGGUGGGGUAGUGGCUUACCAAGGCUUUGACGGGUAGCCGGCCUGAGAGGGUGACCGGCCACAUUGGGACUGAGAUACGGCCCACACUCCUACGGGAGACAGCAGUGGGGAAUAUUGCACGAUGGGCGGAAGCCUGAUGCAGCAACGCCGCGUGCGGGAUUACGGCCUUCGUUUUGUAGACCGCUUUCGCCUGUGACGAAGCGUGAGUGACGGUAAUGGGUAAAGAAGCACCGGCUAACUACGUG
RNAcentral lists this ribosomal RNA (468 nucleotides) under uncultured bacterium. Its description in RNAcentral is "partial 16S ribosomal RNA". It matches the Rfam family "Bacterial small subunit ribosomal RNA", at positions 28 to 507 of the family's 1533-position model. The record is from RNAcentral.